Long non-coding RNA from Onychostoma macrolepis, 1070 nucleotides. RefSeq lists it as uncharacterized. The transcript is spliced from 3 exons. NCBI's taxonomy places the organism in Eukaryota, Metazoa, Chordata, Actinopteri, Cypriniformes, Cyprinidae. The record is from RefSeq and is a predicted model, not a curated record.
GGAAAAGUAAUUGCAGAAAAUGCAUUGUUUAAGUCAGAUCCCAUGUCCCUGGGCUUGAUUCUCUAUCAGGAUUCAUUUGAAGUUGUUAAUCCAUUAGGUUCAGGGAAAAAAACACAUAAAGUGCUGGCAGUCUAUCUCACUUUAGGAGACAUUUUGCCUCAUAAUCGGUCAACCACUGACCAUAUGCAACUUGUUCUACUUUGCAGAGAGCAAGAUUUCAAGUUCUUUGGACAUGACAUGGCGAUGGGGCAGCUGAUAAAGGAUCUCAAAGACCUUGAGAUUCUGUGAAAUUGAUCGACCAACAUUUGUGGCAGACUGGCCAAGGGGCCAAGCAGGACUGUGCAGUCAUAUAUAGCUCCGACAGAUGGUUGAGUUCAUUUGUGCCCCUGCCAUUUCUUCAGGACAGAUCGCCUACUUAAAGGUAAUGAUUGAGGACUACAUGUAUUUUCGAAAGAAACUAUUUCCUGACCAUCCUCUGAGGCCAAAACACCAUUAUGUUACUCAUUAUCCAGAACUAACAGUCCAGUUUGGGCCACUCAUUCGUCUCUGGACCCUCAGAUUUGAAAGCAAACACACAUAUUUCAAGCAGUGUUCAAGAAAGUUGCACAAUUUCAAGAACAUUUGCUCUACUCUUGCUGAAAGGCAUCAGCUAUUUCAAGCUUAUUUAAGUGCUGGUAGUCUGUUCCCACCCCAUGUUGUUGUUGAAAAAGGAACAGAAUUUUGCCCAUCGGAUUACAAUGAUGAUAUUAGAGAAGCUGUUUCACACCUUAACUGUCAGUCAAGCACACUCAUUUCACAUGAAACAAAAGUGAAAGGGACUAAAUACAAAAAAAAUAUGUUUCUUGUGCUUGAUCAAAUUGAUGAUGGAAUUGUAUUUGGCAAAAUAAAAGCCAUUCUCAUUCAAGGAGAUUCCGUCAACUUCAUCACAGAAAGAUAUAACUCUUCAACUCUCAUUGAUCAGGGCCUUCAUUGCAUAUCUGAGAAACCUGCAAAAAGGCUGUGUUGUGUCAGCCAGGAAAACCUAUUGGACUACUAUCCCUUGCCCAUGUACAAGUUGUGUGGCCUGUCAG